RNAcentral lists this small nuclear RNA (22 nucleotides) under Arabidopsis thaliana (thale cress). Its description in RNAcentral is "snRNA_10981". The record is from RNAcentral. Lineage: Eukaryota; Viridiplantae; Streptophyta; Magnoliopsida; Brassicales; Brassicaceae.
UUAACCGAUGUGCUACAGCGGA